Molecule: long non-coding RNA, 247 nt
Filed under: Elaeis guineensis (African oil palm)
Lineage: Eukaryota; Viridiplantae; Streptophyta; Magnoliopsida; Arecales; Arecaceae
Description: long non-coding RNA (EGUI_LNC035367)
Source: RNAcentral
CGAUUGGGCAUGCGAUCGUUCCUUUAGGGGCCUAUUUGAAAAGUUUUAUAUAUGUAAAAUUUGGGUUUGAACCUGAGUCUGUUGAGAUCUCCAAGAAAAAUUAGGAUGGUUAUUCUUGAAUUAUAUACAAUACUGUCAAAUCGGAAUUCGACUCGUGAAUUGCUCAUGCCUUAACUCGAAUCGCGACUUGAAUCGUGAUUCGGAUCAUAAAAUUCAAUAACAAAAAGCACAAUCAAAAUGUAUACCA